UACAGAGGUCUCAAGCGUUGUUCGGAUUCAUUGGGCGUAAAGGGUGCGUAGGCGGCGCGGUAAGUCGGGUGUGAAAUCUCGGAGCUUAACUCCGAAACUGCAUUCGAUACUGCGGUGCUUGAGGACUGGAGAGGAGACUGGAAUUCAUGGUGUAGCAGUGAAAUGCGUAGAGAUCAUGAGGAAGACCAGUGGCGAAGGCGGGUCUCUGGACAGUUCCUGACACUGAGGCACGAAGGCCAGGGGAGCAAAACGGG
RNAcentral lists this ribosomal RNA (254 nucleotides) under uncultured bacterium. Its description in RNAcentral is "partial 16S ribosomal RNA". It matches the Rfam family "Bacterial small subunit ribosomal RNA", at positions 524 to 777 of the family's 1533-position model. The record is from RNAcentral.